UGCAGUCGAACGAUGAACCACUUCGGUGGGGAUUAGUGGCGAACGGGUGAGUAACACGUGGGCAAUCUGCCCUUCACUCUGGGACAAGCCCUGGAAACGGGGUCUAAUACCGGAUACGAGCCUCCAUCGCAUGGUGGGGGUUGGAAAGCUCCGGCGGUGAAGGAUGAGCCCGCGGCCUAUCAGCUUGUUGGUGAGGUAAUGGCUCACCAAGGCGACGACGGGUAGCCGGCCUGAGAGGGCGACCGGCCACACUGGGACUGAGACACGGCCCAGACUCCUACGGGAGGCAGCAGUGGGGAAUAUUGCACAAUGGGCGAAAGCCUGAUGCAGCGACGCCGCGUGAGGGAUGACGGCCUUCGGGUUGUAAACCUCUUUCAGCAGGGAAGAAGCGCAAGUGACGGUACCUGCAGAAGAAGCGCCGGCUAACUACGUGCCAGCAGCCGCGGUAAUACGUAGGGCGCAAGCGUUGUCCGGAAUUAUUGGGCGUAAAGAGCUCGUAGGCGGCUUGUCACGUCGAUUGUGAAAGCCCGAGGCUUAACCUCGGGUCUGCAGUCGAUACGGGCUAGCUAGAGUGUGGUAGGGGAGAUCGGAAUUCCUGGUGUAGCGGUGAAAUGCGCAGAUAUCAGGAGGAACACCGGUGGCGAAGGCGGAUCUCUGGGCCAUUACUGACGCUGAGGAGCGAAAGCGUGGGGAGCGAACAGGAUUAGA
RNAcentral lists this ribosomal RNA (708 nucleotides) under Streptomyces similanensis. RNAcentral describes it as "bacterial SSU rRNA". It matches the Rfam family "Bacterial small subunit ribosomal RNA", at positions 56 to 782 of the family's 1533-position model. Lineage: Bacteria; Bacillati; Actinomycetota; Actinomycetes; Kitasatosporales; Streptomycetaceae. The record is from RNAcentral.